Molecule: ribosomal RNA, 253 nt
Filed under: uncultured bacterium
Lineage: Bacteria
Description: partial 16S ribosomal RNA
Rfam family: Bacterial small subunit ribosomal RNA
Source: RNAcentral
UACGUAGGGCGCAAGCGUUAUCCGGAAUUAUUGGGCGUAAAGAGCUCGUAGGCGGUUUGUCGCGUCUGCCGUGAAAGUCCGGGGCUCAACUCCGGAUCUGCAGUGGGUACGGGCAGACUAGAGUGAUGUAGGGGAGACUGGAAUUCCUGGUGUAGCGGUGAAAUGCGCAGAUAUCAGGAGGAACACCGAUGGCGAAGGCAGGUCUCUGGGCAUUAACUGACGCUGAGGAGCGAAAGCAUGGGGAGCGAACAGG